RNAcentral lists this ribosomal RNA (896 nucleotides) under Salmonella enterica subsp. enterica serovar Chester. RNAcentral describes it as "partial 23S ribosomal RNA". It matches the Rfam family "Bacterial large subunit ribosomal RNA", at positions 711 to 1605 of the family's 2925-position model. Lineage: Bacteria; Pseudomonadati; Pseudomonadota; Gammaproteobacteria; Enterobacterales; Enterobacteriaceae. The record is from RNAcentral.
AGACCCGAAACCCGGUGAUCUAGCCAUGGGCAGGUUGAAGGUUGGGUAACACUAACUGGAGGACCGAACCGACUAAUGUUGAAAAAUUAGCGGAUGACCUGUGGCUGGGGGUGAAAGGCCAAUCAAACCGGGAGAUAGCUGGUUCUCCCCGAAAGCUAUUUAGGUAGCGCCUCGUGAAUUCAUCUCCGGGGGUAGAGCACUGUUUCGGCUAGGGGGCCAUCCCGGCUUACCAACCCGAUGCAAACUGCGAAUACCGGAGAAUGUUAUCACGGGAGACACACGGCGGGUGCUAACGUCCGUCGUGAAGAGGGAAACAACCCAGACCGCCAGCUAAGGUCCCAAAGUCAUGGUUAAGUGGGAAACGAUGUGGGAAGGCCCAGACAGCCAGGAUGUUGGCUUAGAAGCAGCCAUCAUUUAAAGAAAGCGUAAUAGCUCACUGGUCGAGUCGGCCUGCGCGGAAGAUGUAACGGGGCUAAACCAUGCACCGAAGCUGCGGCAGCGACGCUGAUGCGUUGUUGGGUAGGGGAGCGUUCUGUAAGCCUGCGAAGGUGGCCUGUGAGGGUUGCUGGAGGUAUCAGAAGUGCGAAUGCUGACAUAAGUAACGAUAAAGCGGGUGAAAAGCCCGCUCGCCGGAAGACCAAGGGUUCCUGUCCAACGUUAAUCGGGGCAGGGUGAGUCGACCCCUAAGGCGAGGCCGAAAGGCGUAGUCGAUGGGAAACGGGUUAAUAUUCCCGUACUUGGUGUUACUGCGAAGGGGGGACGGAGAAGGCUAUGUUGGCCGGGCGACGGUUGUCCCGGUUUAAGCGUGUAGGUGUGUGUUCCAGGUAAAUCCGGUUCACUUUAACACUGAGGCGUGAUGACGAGGCACUACGGUGCUGAAGCAACAAAUGCCCUGC